GUACAGUCUAUUGGAGUUGUGUACUCUUCCUAAUGAACUCUUGAUGUUACCCAUAAUUAGGGUGUGGUCGUCACAGCCCAGUAAUUAUACUACUUCCAUGGACUACAGGAAGUCUAAAUAGAGAUCUAUACUUCUGAAGAAAAUUAAUGGAUAGAUCUACUUAUGUUGAAAGAGACUGUCAUACACAAAGUCAGACAUUCGAACCUUGUAGGCCAACCGAAGCUGAUGUUGGGAGAGAGACUGGCCAUUCUGCAAACAAAUUCAGGGCUAGAUCUAUAUCUAGCACAAGUAGUGAUGAUGUCGAGAGAGACUGCUCUAGAUCUGUUAAGAGAACCAGGCCCCAGAGUGAUGUUGAGGGAGACUCUCCAAUAAAAAUACCUCGUGUUUUCAACAGUGUUCACGAUCAGUCGCUCUACUUAGCUACUUCAAAGGAUAAGAUUGAAGAAGCUAUAUUUCUCUUAGCCCAAGGAGCUAAUCCAAACUAUAUCUUUCCAGAACCACCUAGGUAUAGCACACUUCACAAAGCAUGCUACAAUAACAACUCACAAUUAAUAAAGGAACUACUAAAACAUGAUGUACUGAACACAAUCAAUCUAAAGACGAUCAAUGGCUAUACUCCCUUGCACAUAGCGUGCGUGUUUGGACACAUACAAUGCAUAAAGCUUCUUCUCGAAAGCUGUAUCUGCAAUACAGAAGUGAAAAAUAACGAAGAUAAAACACCCUUGGAUCUGGUAAAAGCAAAAGCAAAAGGUGAACUAAAUGGAAAAUUCAACAAAAUCCAGAAGUACAUGGAAUGUUUUUUGCUAACAGCCCACCUAGCAAUACCUUUAUGACAAGUUCUGACGUGUUUUCCCAUCGUAUUGAUAUUGACAAGCACCUGCGUUCACUUUUGGAGGUCUUAUCUGAAGUGUUUUGUAAAUGGUUUGAAUUUGGAGUUGAACUUCAAAUUGAAGGCUCUGAGCUAGAGCGAUUCAGUAUGGAAAAUCAAGGAGUCCAACAACAGUGUUUCACAGCUAUGCUGGUAUAUUUUUUCACUCAUGAUACAACUUCUACUUGGUCAAGCAUCAUUAGGGUAGUGCAGUCACGUACUGUUAACUGUCCACAUUUAGUGAAGCAACUUAUCAAUUUGGCCGAAAAAUUUGCUAAGUAAUUUCUUUAUUAUCUUCAUUCCGUUAAUUACUACAUGUACUAUUUCCCCAUGCAGCACAAUACUCAAGCGUACCUAUUUUGCCUAUAAUUAUGCUACACUGCAAAAAAUUUUGUUUGAAACUACAUUGCAUAGUCGUUUUAACACUAUUCUUAAACAGUUGAAUCAACUUAAUAUUUAGUAAAAUAAAAAGACAACGUUAAAAUAAUCAGUAUAUGUGGUUUUAACUUAAAAUAUUGUAGAAUCACACAAUGUCUUUUAUUUCUACAAUAAUUUACAUAGAAUCUAUUAUUGAUAUCUUAAAUCAAACUAACAAACUCAUUUUGAUUAAAUUAUAUUUGAAACUCUAUCAUGCAGCAUGUUAGAAUACAGUAUAUAAAUUUAGAUUUAACAAUAAUAAUAUUAAUUUGUUCUAACACAGGCACACAUAUAAUUAUAUACAAUCAAUAUUUUUAACAAUCCAUUUAUAAUAGCAUGAGUGAUGUGAAAUUAUAUACAGUCAUGAACAUUGUAAGGAAAUGUACAAGUUUGCAUAGAACCAUAGAUAUUAGAGGACCUAGAAACUAAAAUGAAAUUGUGGGCGUGGCUAUGCUAAGUCUAAGAUUGCGCAUGCUCAGUAGAUCUAGAGCUGUGAAACCAUGUGCUCCAAGAAAAGAGAAGACGAUUACCCUUUCUAUAUGCUGGACAUUUGCUGCUAUAAAUCUGACUGUGAUGAUACUUCUGUGAGAGGUAUGACUGUGACUACACCAAGUGGAUGAUGAUACUUUUAGUUCUGUGAGAGGUAUGACUGUAACUACACCAAGUGGAUGAUGAUACUUCUGUGAGAGAAAUUCCUUAAAUUGGCAAGCUUGACAUGCGAGAACAAACGAAACAAACAGACGAAUGGAUAGAAGUGGCGUCAUUGUUGGAUAAUUAUCCUCUCGGUGAUUGAUAAUACACGGUAAUAAUUAAUAUCAAUAACAAUGAUGUAUUUACUAUUAUAGGUGGACUCUGCGUGGUCAAGAGUGAUCGGUCUGCUAUACUUGUGAGUCCAGUAUGUAACACCAAGAAGAACUAUUCCUUGGGCUAAUUAAUUUAAAACUGUCCUUCUAAUUUAACAUUGUAUACCAUUGUCUCACUCAGUUGUCACGAACGUUUCCUAUCACUAUUUUUGUAUUAACAUGUUAUUUGAAUAAUAAUUGUUAUACCGAUUCAUUUGUAAAUCGUUGUUUUAGGAAUUUAUUUAGCUAUAAUGAGUCUUAUUUAUUAUAAUAAGUAUUUUCUUAAUGGUUGUUUUAAUGUAUGGCUUAAGUAGAUUUGACAAUAAAACACAAUAGUUUUAACCUAGCAAUAAUAAUGUUAAAACUACAUUUAUACAUUAAUACUUAUAAGUAUUUUUAAAUAGUUGUUAUAAUUAUUACAUAAAAGUUGAAUUGACGCUUUUUGUACUUCGUUAAAGCUACAUUAAUAAAUGUCACCUCAGUUUCAAUUG
This is an RNA transcript of Halichondria panicea, 2618 nucleotides long. RefSeq lists it as uncharacterized. The transcript is spliced from 7 exons. The record is from RefSeq and is a predicted model, not a curated record. Lineage: Eukaryota; Metazoa; Porifera; Demospongiae; Suberitida; Halichondriidae.